Molecule: ribosomal RNA, 1286 nt
Filed under: Staphylococcus pseudintermedius
Lineage: Bacteria; Bacillati; Bacillota; Bacilli; Caryophanales; Staphylococcaceae
Description: partial 23S ribosomal RNA
Rfam family: Bacterial large subunit ribosomal RNA
Source: RNAcentral
GGGAGAGGAACUUGUUCCUCGAGUCGUUGAUUUCACACUGCCGAGAAAAGCCUCUAGCUAGAAUAACGGUGCCCGUACCGCAAACCGACACAGGUAGUCAAGAUGAGAAUUCUAAGGUGAGCGAGCGAACUCUCGUUAAGGAACUCGGCAAAAUGACCCCGUAACUUCGGGAGAAGGGGUGCUCUUUGAGGUUCACGCUUCGAAGAGCCGCAGUGAAUAGGCCCAAGCGACUGUUUAUCAAAAACACAGGUCUCUGCUAAACCGUAAGGUGACGUAUAGGGGCUGACGCCUGCCCGGUGCUGGAAGGUUAAGAGGAGUGGUUAGCGCAAGCGAAGCUACGAAUCGAAGCCCCAGUAAACGGCGGCCGUAACUAUAACGGUCCUAAGGUAGCGAAAUUCCUUGUCGGGUAAGUUCCGACCCGCACGAAAGGCGUAACGAUUUGGGCACUGUCUCAACGAGAGACUCGGUGAAAUCAUAGUACCGGUGAAGAUGCCGGUUACCCGCGACAGGACGGAAAGACCCCGUGGAGCUUUACUGUAGCCUGAUAUUGAAAUUCGGUACAGUUUGUACAGGAUAGGUAGGAGCCUUAGAAGCGUGAGCGCUAGCUUACGUGGAGGCAUUGGUGGGAUACUACCCUAAUUGUAUUGGAUUUCUAACCCGCAGCACUUAUCGUGCUGGGAGACAGUGUCAGGCGGGCAGUUUGACUGGGGCGGUCGCCUCCUAAAGAGUAACGGAGGCGCUCAAAGGUUCCCUCAGAAUGGUUGGAAAUCAUUCAUAGAGUGUAAAGGCAUAAGGGAGCUUGACUGCGAGACCUACAAGUCGAGCAGGGUCGAAAGACGGACUUAGUGAUCCGGUGGUUCCGCAUGGAAGGGCCAUCGCUCAACGGAUAAAAGCUACCCCGGGGAUAACAGGCUUAUCUCCCCCAAGAGUUCACAUCGACGGGGAGGUUUGGCACCUCGAUGUCGGCUCAUCGCAUCCUGGGGCUGUAGUCGGUCCCAAGGGUUGGGCUGUUCGCCCAUUAAAGCGGUACGCGAGCUGGGUUCAGAACGUCGUGAGACAGUUCGGUCCCUAUCCGUCGUGGGCGUAGGAAAUUUGAGAGGAGCUGUCCUUAGUACGAGAGGACCGGGAUGGACAUACCUCUGGUGUACCAGUUGUCGUGCCAACGGCAUAGCUGGGUAGCUAUGUAUGGACGGGAUAAGUGCUGAAAGCAUCUAAGCAUGAAGCCCCCCUCGAGAUGAGAUUUCCCAACUUCGGUUAUAAGAUCCCUCAAAGAUGAUGAGGUGAAU